Long non-coding RNA from Lotus japonicus, 626 nucleotides. RefSeq lists it as uncharacterized. The transcript is spliced from 2 exons. NCBI's taxonomy places the organism in Eukaryota, Viridiplantae, Streptophyta, Magnoliopsida, Fabales, Fabaceae. The record is from RefSeq and is a predicted model, not a curated record.
UGUUAUGGCUUAUGGUGAAUAUCCUGGUGGAACUUGUGGUCUAAUAGGUACAAAGCUGAUUUUCAAUGUUGAAAAGUUAGCUGACCAUGGUUCAAAGUAUGAUCAUUCUUACAAGGGACUAAGGUGAUUAAAAACCCUUUGAAUUUCUUGAUACUUCUCCUUGUCUUGGUCCUUAAGUGCUUCAGCAAGUAACUCAUGAAGAGGGAAGGCCAAAUGCUUGAAGAAUUGAUGGAAUCGUUCAAAGGGUGGGGGGGGGGGUUACAAAAGCUAAAAAGUCAACAAAACCGAGUGUCUGGCGCCCAAGCGCCCAUGCCUGGCGCCCGAGCGCCAGCUUGCCAGAUGGGGAAAUGUUGCUUCUGCCUCAUGGGCGCUCGAGCGCCCCAGGGCAGCGCUUGAGCGCCCCUGCUCGACCAUUUUGCCUAUAAAUAAGGCCUUAGGCCAUUUUGUUCAGAACUUAUGACUUUUUCUUAUAAUUUUACCAAGUAUUGAAGCUUAGGAAGUGCUUUUGGGGCUUGUGGGAAGCUUCCACCUUGUAUUUUCCAGGUUUCAUUUACAUUUCUUGUAUGGAUUUUCUAGCCAUGAGUGGCUAGUACUCUAUUUGCUUUGGGAUUAAGUGAUUUCAUGAA